Molecule: long non-coding RNA, 2181 nt
Organism: Oxyura jamaicensis (ruddy duck)
Lineage: Eukaryota; Metazoa; Chordata; Aves; Anseriformes; Anatidae
Exons: 3
Source: RefSeq, a predicted model, not a curated record
UCUCGACUGGAGAAUGUGAAAGGUAAAAAUUAAGCAGCAUCUGAAGAGUCUUGAGUUCUGAAGUCCAAAUGAUUCUGUACAGGGCGGGACUUCUGAAGUGUCUGAAGCAUGAAGAGGGUCAGGCUCGAUGUUAGGGAAAGAUUCUUCACCAAGAGGGUGGCUGGGCACUGGAACAGCCUCCCCAGGGCAGUGGUCACAGCACCAAGCCUGCUGGAGUUCAAGAAGCGUUUGGACAAAGCUCUCAGACAUAGGAUAUGAUUUUUAGGUGGUCCUGUGUGAGUCAGGAGCUGGACUCAAUGAUCCUUGUGAGUCCCUUCCAACCUAGCAUAUUCUGUAAUUCCAUGAUUCUAAGUGUCCUCUCCGGAUAGAAAAAGUACUGUUAGUGUGAAAAACUAAGUCUAAACUAAGAUUAAAUCUGUACUUGGGGGUCUGUAGUCAAAUACAAAGGCUCACUAUGGACAAGUUAUUGAUAGAUGUAGAAAAGAGAAACCUAUUAAGUUUUGGGAAACUCUUUUCUAUAUUCUCUAGUGGCCCUGCUGCUGUCUGCUGAAGGAAGAAGAUGAAAAUUAUAUUGCUAGAGAAAGUGUGCAGGAAUUCCUCAGUGGUAAGUAUGCACAGUUCACUAACUAAUGUCUCUCUUCCUGCAGUCCCCAGAGGCUGAAACAGUUAGUUGAAUGAGCUUUUAUCUGAACAGGGCAUAAAACACCCAUCAGCUGGUAUGCUUCUGAUAUAAUUUUAAGUGUUUUGCUUAAAAAUACAUAACUGUGACUAUUGAACUCCUCAGAUGAUUCCUUCACGGAUGAAUAAGGAAGCUUCAGAUUCAUCUGUUCUAGAUAAGUCAGAUGUCUGUAAAGGAUCUGUGCAUGUGGUACUCACUCUUUGCACUGAAGAAACAAGACAAAGGACUUCUAGCCCUAUGAAGGGAGUGAAGUGCUAGUUCUUGUCAAGAGUCUCUGAAGGCAUCCCAGAAACUUCAGCCCUCUAGCUGCUCGUGAGGUAGUAACGUAUGUGUAACUGUUACAUCUGACUGAGCAUGCCUCUGGUUUUUGCUGUUCUUUUUGAGAUAGCUUAAGAAGCAAUACAUUUACGUGGAAUGUACCUUAUUCUGAAUAUCUAAAUAAAACCCAUGACUGUGCAGAGGGAAGAUUUUUGAAUGCUACAAACAAACAGAGGUCUGCACUGUUAUUUUUCUCCCGAACUGCAGUGCUGACUGAGUGGUCUACUGAAAUGAAUUUUUCGUUUAAUUUUGCACUUUUUCAUAAUAUAACUGUACAAGGGAAUGUGACAAUAUUCUCUCAUCAUAACUGCUUCCCCUAAUGUAAUGCAUACGAACUAUAGUCUAUAAAAAUACCGUGAAACAAGAGGUCUAGAGUUCAGCAAAAAUAAGAUCAGUAUUUAUGUGGAAGGAUUGUUGUCAUUCUGUGUCGUUUAUUGUAGCUGGUGGCAGCCUAGAAGUUUAUUGCAUUCGUUCUCCCUGUUCUGCAAUACUGACAAGUCAGCCUGAUCCUCUAUCCUUAGAGUAAGUGCAAAUUUAGAAAGUGUGUCUGCGUUGUGGCAAAUGAAGGCAGCCAGAGCUGAGAAAAGUGAACUUGUGUUUUAUUUAGCACAUCUGUAAAAUGACAUUCUGUUUUCUGUGUGGUAGCACCUAUGAACCAAUGAGCUCGAUGUUUUUAGUUUCAUGUAAACAGUCUCGAUAAGCAGAAAUGCAGUACAUGGAACAGGUCAAUAAACUGAAUACAAGAGGCUGUUAUGAAUAGCGGGUGUUCUUGGUAUAAGCUGAUUUCAUUUGCACUGACAUUUGUGGUAGAAACAGAAGUGUGUCCAUACUUCUAAAUUGCCAUUCAAAACCUAUUCCUAGCAAAAUAAUAACAUGCAAAACUCAAAUAACACAUCUUUGACUUUUGCAGUCUCAGUCCAUCUGUUUUAUUACAGAAGAUAAUACAGUCGUGUUGUGUGUCGUUCCCCCCCCCCCCCCAUCUUUCUUAUUGCAUUGUGCUGUAGGCCAGAAUAAAAAUGUUAAAUGUGACUCUAAAUAGUUUCUCAGCAUUUUUGCUGGCUUCUUCGAGGACUAGGAGAAAGAGCUGACAUUCACUGGGAAACUGGAAAUCUUCCAGUGUGUCAGAGCUCUCAUUGCCACGGUGUUUUUAGUUUGAAUUUUUGAGUAGGGAUGUUGUUACAUAC